GCCGUUCAUUUCGUUUUAAUCUGGGCCGUUCGUUUUUGAUUGAAUCUGGGCCGUCCGUGCGUUUGAAUCUGGGCCGUCCGAUCGCGCGAUUGAUCUGGGCCGUCGGAUCGCACCCACGCGGAUCGCCAACGUGGCUCCUUUCGGAGUGACGCGAUCUUGCCACGUGGCAGGCCCUGGUUGGCCGGGUGCUGACCGGGCCUGCUGACGUGGCUGCUGACGUGGCCCCCCC
RNAcentral lists this long non-coding RNA (229 nucleotides) under Carica papaya (papaya). Its description in RNAcentral is "long non-coding RNA (CPAP_LNC003257)". The record is from RNAcentral. Lineage: Eukaryota; Viridiplantae; Streptophyta; Magnoliopsida; Brassicales; Caricaceae.